Molecule: long non-coding RNA, 297 nt
Filed under: Salvia miltiorrhiza (redroot sage)
Lineage: Eukaryota; Viridiplantae; Streptophyta; Magnoliopsida; Lamiales; Lamiaceae
Description: long non-coding RNA (SMIL_LNC006173)
Source: RNAcentral
GCAGAAUGAAAUAAAAUGAAUUUCAUAUAUGAUGCUUUAAGCAAAAUAUAGGAGCAAAAAAAUUGUUGGUCUUACCAUAUCUGAAGAUAUUACAAUUCCCUGAUAAAAUGAAUUGGAAACAUUCAAUAGGCUAUUCCUGUAUCAUAAUAGGCUGUUCCUGUAUCAUAACAACUUAUCAUCAUCAUCACCAUCAUCUCAGUCACAUACUCUUAUCUCCUAAAAACUAGAAUUCAGUCUAAUUAGGGAAGAAAGGAGUUUAUACGGCAGGACAAAGUCAUGUAUGAGGCAGAUUUUCUU